GUGAAUUUUAAUGCAGAUAAAUCUAGAUGCUUGGGGUGUCAAAUAAAAUUAAUUUUAUGAGUUAAAAGCUUUAUUUGGUUAUAAAGAAAAUGAGCUACAGGGCCAAGGAUUAGUUGAUUUUUUUUAUGUCAUUUCAAGAAUCCAUGACAUCUAGUGUAAAAAGGACUUCUUUGAAUGGUUUGGAUGCUCUAACCAGAGAAUGGGUGACUGAAGAUGAUAUAAAUAGAAGAAAAGGAAAGAUUGAAAAUUAAGGCCAAGGGUUUAGGAUAUAAAUAUGGGAAUGAGUUGUUUUGGAUAUUUCCUAUUAAGCUUAUGUCCACAGAAUGAGACUUGUUCGGUAUGAAACAAUAUUUUUAAUUUUGGC
Molecule: unclassified non-coding RNA, 364 nt
Filed under: Hevea brasiliensis (rubber tree)
Lineage: Eukaryota; Viridiplantae; Streptophyta; Magnoliopsida; Malpighiales; Euphorbiaceae
Source: RNAcentral